GAUGAAGAACGUAGCGAAAUGCGAUAAGUAAUGCGAAUUGCAGAAUUCAGUGAGUCAUCGAAUCUUUGAACGCACAUUGCGCCCCCUGGUAUUCCGGGGGGCAUGCCUGUUCGAGCGUCAUUUCACCACUCAAGCCUCGCUUGGUAUUGGGCAUCGCGGUCCGCCGCGCGCCUCAAAUCGACCGGCUGGGUCUUCUGUCCCCUAAGCGUUGUGGAAACUAUUCGCUAAAGGGUGUUCGGGAGGCUACGCCGUAAAACAACCCCAUUUCUAAGGUUGACCUCGGAUCAGGUAGGGAUACCCGCUGAACUUAAGCAUAUCAAUAAGCGAGGA
RNAcentral lists this unclassified non-coding RNA (330 nucleotides) under soil metagenome. Its description in RNAcentral is "partial contains 5.8S ribosomal RNA, internal transcribed spacer 2, and large subunit ribosomal RNA". The stretch from base 1 to 120 matches the Rfam family "5.8S ribosomal RNA", at positions 35 to 154 of the family's 154-position model. The record is from RNAcentral.